Molecule: ribosomal RNA, 426 nt
Filed under: uncultured bacterium
Lineage: Bacteria
Description: bacterial SSU rRNA
Rfam family: Bacterial small subunit ribosomal RNA
Source: RNAcentral
GGACCCGCACAAGUAGUGGAGCAUGUGGUUUAAUUCGAAGAUACGCGCAGAACCUUACCAACACUUGACAUGUUCGUCGCGACUUUAAGAGAUUAAAGUUUUCGGUUCGGCCGGACGAAACACAGGUGCUGCAUGGCUGUCGUCAGCUCGUGUCGUGAGAUGUUGGGUUAAGUCCCGCAACGAGCGCAACCCUCACUUUUAGUUGCCAUCAUUAAGUUGGGCACUCUGAAAGAACUGCCAGUGAUAAGCUGGAGGAAGGUGGGGAUGACGUCAAGUCCUCAUGGCCCUUACGUGUUGGGCUACACACGUGCUACAAUGGUAUUUACAACAGGAAGCAAGACUGCGAAGUUAAGCAAAUCCCUAAAAAAUACCUCAGUUCGGAUUGCACUCUGCAACUCGAGUGCAUGAAGCUGGAAUUACUAGUAA